This 427-nucleotide ribosomal RNA is filed under the name uncultured bacterium. RNAcentral's name for it is "partial 16S ribosomal RNA". It matches the Rfam family "Bacterial small subunit ribosomal RNA", at positions 355 to 774 of the family's 1533-position model. The record is from RNAcentral.
UGGGGAAUAUUGCACAAUGGGCGCAAGCCUGAUGCAGCCAUGCCGCGUGUAUGAAGAAGGCCUUCGGGUUGUAAAGUACUUUCAGCGAGGAGGAAGGCGUUGUGGUUAAUAACCGCAACGAUUGACGUUACUCGCAGAAGAAGCACCGGCUAACUCCGUGCCAGCAGCCGCGGUAAUACGGAGGGUGCAAGCGUUAAUCGGAAUUACUGGGCGUAAAGCGCACGCAGGCGAUCUGUCAAGUCGGAUGUGAAAUCCCCGGGCUCAACCUGGGAACUGCAUCCGAAACUGGCAGGCUAGAGUCUUGUAGAGGGGGGUAGAAUUCCAGGUGUAGCGGUGAAAUGCGUAGAGAUCUGGAGGAAUACCGGUGGCGAAGGCGGCCCCCUGGACAAAGACUGACGCUCAGGUGCGAAAGCGUGGGGAGCAAACA